Molecule: non-coding RNA, 253 nt
Organism: Theobroma cacao (cacao)
Lineage: Eukaryota; Viridiplantae; Streptophyta; Magnoliopsida; Malvales; Malvaceae
Source: RefSeq, a predicted model, not a curated record
AGAGAAAGUGUUGGAAUUCAAGGAUUUGAUCAAGCAAAGGUGGUGAGCCAUUAGAUACGGGUAAAAGACUGUACCUGCGGAUUGAAAAUAGGAGUAUUUCUACUCCUAAUACUUGGUGGGGGUUUCCGUGGACUGCCUGUGAGAGGGGCACGGUAACCUAAUUAUAUACCUACCUCCGAGGGGAGAUGUUGGAUGAAGUAUUUCCUGAGGUAAGAUUUGAGUGCACCUCACGUUCGGGCCACCACGUGAGAGU